UCCGAAAUGGUGUAUUGGCUAACAUUAUCGCCUCUCAAAAACACGUCGCGAUAGCCCGGGGUUCAAUUCCCUUUUUCGGAU
This is a non-coding RNA of Sphaerobolus stellatus SS14, 81 nucleotides long. The record is from the annotation of a GenBank genome assembly. NCBI's taxonomy places the organism in Eukaryota, Fungi, Basidiomycota, Agaricomycetes, Geastrales, Sphaerobolaceae.